CCUACGGGUGGCUGCAGUGGGGAAUAUUGCACAAUGGGGGAAACCCUGAUGCAGCGACGCCGCGUGAAGGAAGAAGUAUUUCGGUAUGUAAACUUCUAUCAGCAGGGAAGAAAAUGACGGUACCUGACUAAGAAGCCCCGGCUAACUACGUGCCAGCAGCCGCGGUAAUACGUAGGUGGCAAGCGUUGUCCGGAUUCACUGGGUGUAAAGGGAGCGUAGACGGCCAUGCAAGCCAGGGGUGAAAGCCCGGGGCCCAACCCCGGGACUGCCCUUGGAACUGCAUGGCUGGAGUGCGGGAGGGGCAGGCGGAAUUCCUGGUGUAGCGGUGAAAUGCGUAGAUAUCAGGAGGAACACCGGCGGCGAAGGCGGCCUGCUGGACCGCGACUGACGUUGAGGCUCGAAAGCGUGGGGAGCGAACAGGAUUAGAUACCCGGGUAGUC
RNAcentral lists this ribosomal RNA (440 nucleotides) under uncultured bacterium. RNAcentral's name for it is "partial 16S ribosomal RNA". It matches the Rfam family "Bacterial small subunit ribosomal RNA", at positions 338 to 795 of the family's 1533-position model. The record is from RNAcentral.